This 673-nucleotide ribosomal RNA is filed under the name Staphylococcus warneri. RNAcentral's name for it is "bacterial SSU rRNA". It matches the Rfam family "Bacterial small subunit ribosomal RNA", at positions 39 to 694 of the family's 1533-position model. Lineage: Bacteria; Bacillati; Bacillota; Bacilli; Caryophanales; Staphylococcaceae. The record is from RNAcentral.
GGGGGGUGCCUAAUACAUGCAAGUCGAGCGAACAGAUAAGGAGCUUGCUCCUUUGACGUUAGCGGCGGACGGGUGAGUAACACGUGGAUAACCUACCUAUAAGACUGGGAUAACUUCGGGAAACCGGAGCUAAUACCGGAUAACAUAUUGAACCGCAUGGUUCAAUAGUGAAAGGCGGCUUUGCUGUCACUUAUAGAUGGAUCCGCGCCGUAUUAGCUAGUUGGUAAGGUAACGGCUUACCAAGGCAACGAUACGUAGCCGACCUGAGAGGGUGAUCGGCCACACUGGAACUGAGACACGGUCCAGACUCCUACGGGAGGCAGCAGUAGGGAAUCUUCCGCAAUGGGCGAAAGCCUGACGGAGCAACGCCGCGUGAGUGAUGAAGGUCUUCGGAUCGUAAAACUCUGUUAUCAGGGAAGAACAAAUGUGUAAGUAACUGUGCACAUCUUGACGGUACCUGAUCAGAAAGCCACGGCUAACUACGUGCCAGCAGCCGCGGUAAUACGUAGGUGGCAAGCGUUAUCCGGAAUUAUUGGGCGUAAAGCGCGCGUAGGCGGUUUUUUAAGUCUGAUGUGAAAGCCCACGGCUCAACCGUGGAGGGUCAUUGGAAACUGGAAAACUUGAGUGCAGAAGAGGAAAGUGGAAUUCCAUGUGUAGCGGUGAAAUGCGCAGA